UACGAAGGGGGCUAGCGUUGCUCGGAAUCACUGGGCGUAAAGCGCACGUAGGCGGACUCUUAAGUCGGUGGUGAAAUCCUGGAGCUCAACUCCAGAACUGCCUUCGAUACUGAGAGUCUCGAGUCCGAGAGAGGUGAGUGGAACUGCGAGUGUAGAGGUGAAAUUCGUAGAUAUUCGCAAGAACACCAGUGGCGAAGGCGGCUCACUGGCGCGGUACUGACGCUGAGGUGCGAAAGCGUGGGGAGCAAACAGG
This 253-nucleotide ribosomal RNA is filed under the name uncultured bacterium. RNAcentral describes it as "partial 16S ribosomal RNA". It matches the Rfam family "Bacterial small subunit ribosomal RNA", at positions 524 to 776 of the family's 1533-position model. The record is from RNAcentral.